GACUAGACAUAGGGAUGCCUCGUGGUGGUUAAUGAAAAUUAACUUACUACGGGGCUAUCUUCUUUCUGCCACACAACACGGUAACAAACCACCUUCACGUCAUGAG
RNAcentral lists this unclassified non-coding RNA (106 nucleotides) under Escherichia coli 55989. Its description in RNAcentral is "FlmB". Lineage: Bacteria; Pseudomonadati; Pseudomonadota; Gammaproteobacteria; Enterobacterales; Enterobacteriaceae. The record is from RNAcentral.